UACAGAGGUCUCAAGCGUUGUUCGGAUUCAUUGGGCGUAAAGGGUGUGUAGGUGGCGCCGUAAGUCGGGUGUGAAAUUUCGGAGCUUAACUCCGAAACUGCAUUCGAUACUGCGGUGCUUGAGGACUGGAGAGGAGACUGGAAUUCACGGUGUAGCAGUGAAAUGCGUAGAGAUCAUGAGGAAGACCAGUGGCGAAGGCGGGUCUCUGGACAGUUCCUGACACUGAGACACGAAGGCCAGGGGAGCAAACGGG
RNAcentral lists this ribosomal RNA (253 nucleotides) under uncultured bacterium. RNAcentral's name for it is "partial 16S ribosomal RNA". It matches the Rfam family "Bacterial small subunit ribosomal RNA", at positions 524 to 776 of the family's 1533-position model. The record is from RNAcentral.